UUCUCAAAUUUGAAAGGUACAAGAGGGACAACUUCAAAAAUCAGAUUCCUGGGAUCCUGGUCCCAGAGGAUCAUAUUCAGUGGGAUGGGGCCCAGGAAUCUGCAUUUUACAAGCCCUCCAGG
RNAcentral lists this microRNA precursor (122 nucleotides) under Chlorocebus sabaeus (green monkey). Its description in RNAcentral is "miRNA (ENSCSAG00000024082.1)". The record is from RNAcentral. Lineage: Eukaryota; Metazoa; Chordata; Mammalia; Primates; Cercopithecidae.